GCCUUCAUCAAAUCUCCUACUGACCUACAGACCCUGCAUCGAAUUGCAAAUAUGAUAAGGGCUUUCGGUAUCCAAUACCCAGGCAGUAGUAUCACAAAUGAAAAAGUUGCAAGGUGUUAUCAUAUAAGUACCUUGCUUCUUCUUUGGCCUGUUCGGGUCCAGUGAGUCAAUGUAUAGAGGACAGUUCCUCUUCCAAUGCCCCUACUUCUUGCAAAAGAAGCACUCCGCCUGGCUCUGGUCGGGUUUGCGCUUCUUGGUCUGACCCUGUGCAGACAUCCCAGCAUGCGGCUGCACCUUCUUAUUCUUCUUCUUCUUGUUCUUCUUCCCUUUCUUAAAGGGUCGACGACCAGAAGAAGACCCUCCCAUAAUAUUUACCGACUCCUUAUGGAGCUGGUGGUCUUUCUCAAAGUUCUGCAGUAACCCCAACAAGCCGUGGUAGUUCACUGCAGGCUUUGUCAUUCGAAAAUG
RNAcentral lists this long non-coding RNA (468 nucleotides) under Elaeis guineensis (African oil palm). RNAcentral describes it as "long non-coding RNA (EGUI_LNC075196)". Lineage: Eukaryota; Viridiplantae; Streptophyta; Magnoliopsida; Arecales; Arecaceae. The record is from RNAcentral.